RNAcentral lists this ribosomal RNA (491 nucleotides) under Moraxella sp. canine oral taxon 017. RNAcentral's name for it is "bacterial SSU rRNA". It matches the Rfam family "Bacterial small subunit ribosomal RNA", at positions 9 to 496 of the family's 1533-position model. Lineage: Bacteria; Pseudomonadati; Pseudomonadota; Gammaproteobacteria; Moraxellales; Moraxellaceae. The record is from RNAcentral.
GAGUUUGAUCAUGGCUCAGAUUGAACGCUGGCGGCAGGCUUAACACAUGCAAGUCGAACGAUGAUUACUAGCUUGCUAGUAUGAUUAGUGGCGAACGGGUGAGUAAUGCUUAGGAAUCUGCCUAUUAGUGGGGGACAACAUUCCGAAAGGAAUGCUAAUACCGCAUACGUCCUACGGGAGAAAGCAGGGGAUCGCAAGACCUUGCGCUAAUAGAUGAGCCUAAGUCGGAUUAGCUAGUUGGUGGGGUAAAGGCCUACCAAGGCGACGAUCUGUAGCUGGUCUGAGAGGAUGAUCAGCCACACUGGGACUGAGACACGGCCCAGACUCCUACGGGAGGCAGCAGUGGGGAAUAUUGGACAAUGGGCGAAAGCCUGAUCCAGCCAUGCCGCGUGUGUGAAGAAGGCCUUUUGGUUGUAAAGCACUUUAAGUGGGGAGGAAAAGCUAAUAAUUAAUACCUAUUAGCCGUGACGUACCCACAGAAUAAGCCCCGG